GUAAGUGCUGUGAGGCAUUGAGCUAACUGAUACUAAUUGCCCGUGAGGCUUAACCAUACAACACCCAAGGGGUUU
This 75-nucleotide ribosomal RNA is filed under the name Vibrio parahaemolyticus. RNAcentral describes it as "partial 23S ribosomal RNA". The record is from RNAcentral. Lineage: Bacteria; Pseudomonadati; Pseudomonadota; Gammaproteobacteria; Vibrionales; Vibrionaceae. RNAcentral also lists the same sequence under 1 other name.